CACCAUGAUAAAGCUAAGCAUUAUAAGAAUACUGCUGAAUAUACGAGCAGGCCUCUUUUGGAUUACAACCUUUCAACUGAUAGCUAGUUUUCUUUUAAGCUCUACCGAAAGCAACCCCUAUUAGUAGUGACUAGUUUCUCAACCAUAUUUGCAUGCUAAUCCGCCAGUGUGCGACAGACUUUAUAAGUGGCGACGAGAAAAAAAAGUACCUUUUAGUGCGCGUGUGAAUUUUUCUUGCGGAUUGUGAACAGUGGUUUACUAGGCAAACGACGAAAAACAGCACUGCAACCAUCCGUACAAGGCGGCAAUUUUGUCAGCGUUCACAGCAGGACAAGUUUACAGCCAGGAAGUAAGAGAGUGUAAUACAUCCGGAUAAUUGUUCGGAUUGAGGAUAAACCGUUUGGAAAUACAAUUCAGUUUACUGGUGGUUUGGUUGCCGGUUCGCUCUUGGAAAGCUGUGUCGUCGGUUUGAUAUACCGGUGAUUGCGUCCGUCAUCGUUGAAAUUUAACAGCAUAAGUGUGAAGCGACAUCGUUCGUAAUGGCUCAAAUGGCGGCCACGAUUGAACCGUACCGCAAAGGAGCAUCCUUUUCGGAUUGGGUGGAGCGCCUUGGUUAUUUUUUCGCAGUGAGCAACGUGGCCGAAGAAGCAAAAAAAAUCACACUUUAUAACCCUUAGUGGGCCAUCGGUUUUUUCCGAAUUGAAAUUACUGUUUCCAAAUAGCGAUUUAGCGAAUGUUGCUUACGAAACAUUGAUAGAAAAGCUUAAAGCACGUUUCGACAAGGUCGAAUCCGACAUAAUACAACGUUUCAAAUUCAAUAAUCGUAAGCAACAUCCGGACGAAUCGGCUGAGGAUUUUGUCCUUGCAAUCAAACUACAAGCAGAAUUCUGCAAUUUUAAAAAUUUUAAAGGUGAAGCGAUUCGUGAGCGCAUUGUUGCUGGUUUGAGAGAUCAGACUCUCCAGCAACGAUUGCUAAAUGAGCAAAAUUUGACGCUUGAAUCGGCUGAAAAACUAAUAGCUACGUGGGAGAUGGCAGGGGCAAAUGCUAAAUCGUUGGGAAUCGGUACCAAUUCUGAUCAAAUUGCUUUUAUGAAUCAUGAUAUUAGAAGACCUCGUGGCCUUGCUUUAGAAAAGUUAGCAGCAACCUUUGCUAAGGCUAGGGCAAAUACAAAUGAAUCUCGACAAGCAGGUUUUAGGGACUCAGUAAAAAAUCGUUUGGGAUUCAAACCAUACAAUAGAGAGAAGGAUGGCAGAUUUAAAAAUUUUGCAGAUUUUCGUCCAGCUGAGUGGAGGGAUGAACAGGAUGUACGCCGUGUCGAGAGCCGUGUCUGCGAUUUUUGUGGAAUAAAAGGGCAUUUGAAGCGAAAAUGCUUCAAAUUAAAAAACCUUCGUAGGAAUGCGGUCCAGUUUGCGGACUCGGGAGCAGGACCAAGCAGUUUAAGCGAUUUAUUCAACCGUUUGGAGACAAAUGCUUCGGACGACGAGGACGAUAAGAAUGAUUCAGAUUCUUGUUGGAAGCGUCGUGGUGCUGGCCCAUCGAACGCAACUGCGAGUGGUCAAGAGGGACGUUAAACCGAUACGACCGAAUGUGGUAAUUACCGCAACGGCGCGAGAUACAACGAUGAUACCAGCACAAAACGACAUCGAAUCCGAGUUCAGGGGUUUCUCUGAAGAGGAAAUAAGAAGAGGAGUCAAAAGAGGAAUUCAAGAGGUGAAUUCACCACAUGUUCAACUUCGACGAUCGAAACGAGCUAAAACAAAAAGGAUGGACAGAAACUUCAUCUAUUCUGAGCAGCAGCAUGAGAAGAAAAAAAAAUUUAUUGCAUAAGUGAAAAAUAUUUAAUCUUAAGCCUAAAACUUUAAUGCAUUAAGAAGAAAAUAAGCAUGAACUUUUAAGAAGUUGAUUUUUGUCGAUUUCGAAUCAUUCGUAAAAUUGAUAAUUUUGUUCAACUAUCAAAUUUGAUUACAUUACUUGCUUUAAGGAGGAAGAGCUGUGGUAUCAGCAUUCGAAUAUGUAUAUUUGUUUCAGUGUACCGAUGAAUUGUACUAAAGUCUUUGACAUUAUCUAUAAAGUGUCUAUUAGAUAUUUAGUGUGUUAACUGACACACACACCAUGAUAAAGCUAAGCAUUAUAAGAAUACUGCUGAAUAUACGAGCAGGCCUCUUUUGGAUUACAACCUUUCAACUGAUAGCUAGUUUUCUUUUAAGCUCUACCGAAAGCAACCCCUAUUAGUAGUGACUAGUUUCUCAACCAUAUUUGCAUGCUAAUCCGCCAGUGUACGACAGACUUUAUAGUAUGUUUUCACGUAAAAGCAACGUGAUUUAUUUUCUAAUGGCGAUACGUCAACAUUUCAUAAGGCAUUAUAUACAAUAUGCUCAUGUCGAGAAAAUGGCGUCUGAAAAAUUGCCUCGUUCUUUAUAUUCCCAUUUAUAAACAGGAGCUUGAUUUAAAGACCAAACAACUCAAUGCCGUGUUAAAUUAACUAUUUUUUCCGAAUAAUA
Molecule: long non-coding RNA, 2502 nt
Organism: Topomyia yanbarensis
Lineage: Eukaryota; Metazoa; Arthropoda; Insecta; Diptera; Culicidae
Exons: 4
Source: RefSeq, a predicted model, not a curated record